This 659-nucleotide ribosomal RNA is filed under the name Wolbachia endosymbiont of Drosophila seguyi. RNAcentral describes it as "bacterial SSU rRNA". It matches the Rfam family "Bacterial small subunit ribosomal RNA", at positions 878 to 1533 of the family's 1533-position model. Lineage: Bacteria; Pseudomonadati; Pseudomonadota; Alphaproteobacteria; Rickettsiales; Anaplasmataceae. The record is from RNAcentral.
GACUACGGUCGCAAGAUUAAAACUCAAAGGAAUUGACGGGGACCCGCACAAGCGGUGGAGCAUGUGGUUUAAUUCGAUGCAACGCGAAAAACCUUACCACUCCUUGACAUGGAAAUUAUACCUAUUCGAAGGGAUAGGGUCGGUUCGGCCGGGUUUCACACAGGUGUUGCAUGGCUGUCGUCAGCUCGUGUCGUGAGAUGUUGGGUUAAGUCCCGCAACGAGCGCAACCCUCAUCCUUAGUUACCAUCAGGUAAUGCUGGGGACUUUAAGGAAACUGCCAGUGAUAAACUGGAGGAAGGUGGGGAUGAUGUCAAGUCAUCAUGGCCCUUAUGGAGUGGGCUACACACGUGCUACAAUGGUGGCUACAAUGGGCUGCAAAGUCGCGAGGCUAAGCUAAUCCCUUAAAAGCCAUCUCAGUUCGGAUUGUACUCUGCAACUCGAGUGCAUGAAGUUGGAAUCGCUAGUAAUCGUGGAUCAGCACGCCACGGUGAAUACGUUCUCGGGUCUUGUACACACUGCCCGUCACGCCAUGGGAAUUGGUUUCACUCGAAGCUAACGACCUAACCGCAAGGAGGGAGUUAUUUAAAGUGGGAUCGGUGACUGGGGUGAAGUCGUAACAAGGUAGCAGUAGGGGAAUCUGCAGCUGGAUUACCUCCUUA